Rana temporaria (common frog) is the source of this 667-nucleotide long non-coding RNA. RefSeq lists it as uncharacterized. The transcript has 3 exons. Lineage: Eukaryota; Metazoa; Chordata; Amphibia; Anura; Ranidae. The record is from RefSeq and is a predicted model, not a curated record.
UGCCGACCUGCCACCGUAAAACUGCGGCGGCUGGUCGGCAACUAGUUAAAGAGGGCAAAUUGUUGGUGCCUGCUUAGCUGGUGCCUCUGUGACUGAAGUUGCCAAUUUUUUUUUGCAGUGUUGCGAGGUACAGUAUCAUAGGUUAUGACAGUUUUUGGGAAACCGUCAUCUGAUAAGCAUAAAUACGAUCGACAUGGACAACUGGCUGAAAGAAACAAAAAAGGACAUUGCACAAAAUUAUGACCCAGAUUUUUGCAUGAAGAGUGGUAUCAAAACCCUUUAUCCACCAUUCAAGACUUAUAUUUGUCAAUUCCCAGGGGAAUUCAGGCUGUCUAAUGCCCAACGCUAUAUUAGAUUUUUACUACCUGUUGAUUGGUCGCUUGCAAUGAUCUAACAUCGGCACAUACUCACCUGGUGGAUCUGACUAUCACUGGAAUUGUUCUAUCGGCAUUGGCGCACCUCUUAAGCUGCCUAUGAUUCAUCCAAUUUUUAUCAGACUAGACCACGUGAAACUAAAGAUGGGUGCAAGGCCCUGAUGAAGCACAACUGUGCGAAAUAUGUUUGGCCAUCUGCAUAUAUGAAGUAUUUUGUUACUGAAUUCUUCAUGGUCUAUGUAAAACCUAUUAUCAUAUUUUAAUGUUAUUAAUAAAUUCUUAUACCUUUUCAA